This 497-nucleotide ribosomal RNA is filed under the name uncultured bacterium. Its description in RNAcentral is "partial 16S ribosomal RNA". It matches the Rfam family "Bacterial small subunit ribosomal RNA", at positions 28 to 507 of the family's 1533-position model. The record is from RNAcentral.
GAUGAACGCUGGCGGCGUGCCUAAUACAUGCAAGUCGAGCGAACAGACGAGGAGCUUGCUCCUCUAACGUUAGCGGCGGACGGGUGAGUAACACGUGGAUAACCUACCUAUAAGACUGGGAUAACUUCGGGAAACCGGAGCUAAUACCGGAUAAUAUAUUGAACCGCAUGGUUCAAUAGUGAAAGACGGUUUUGCUGUCACUUAUAGAUGGAUCCGCGCCGCAUUAGCUAGUUGGUAAGGUAACAGCUUACCAAGGCAACGAUGCGUAGCCGACCUGAGUGGGUGAUCGGCCACACUGGAACUGAGACACGGUCCAGACUCCUACGGGAGGCAGCAGUAGGGAAUCUUCCGCAAUGGGCGAAAGCCUGACGGAGCAACGCCGCGUGAGUGAUGAAGGUCUUCGGAUCGUAAAACUCUGUUAUUAGGGAAGAACAAAUGUGUAAGUAACUAUGCACGUCUUGACGGUACCUAAUCAGAAAGCCACGGCUAACUACGUG